This 253-nucleotide ribosomal RNA is filed under the name uncultured bacterium. Its description in RNAcentral is "partial 16S ribosomal RNA". It matches the Rfam family "Bacterial small subunit ribosomal RNA", at positions 524 to 776 of the family's 1533-position model. The record is from RNAcentral.
UACGUAGGAGGCGAGCGUUGUCCGGAUUUACUGGGCGCAAAGAGCGCGCAGGCGGCAUGUCAAGUAAGGUGUGAAAUCUCCCUGCUCAACGGGGAGGGUGCAUUUUAGACUGGCAAGCUAGAGGACGGUAGAGGGGGGUAGAAUUGCUGGUGUAGCGGUGAAAUGCGUAGAGAUCAGCAGGAAUACCCGUGGCGAAGGCGGCCCCCUGGGCCGAACCUGACGCUGAGGCGCGAAGGCUAGGGGAGCGAACGGG